AAUCACUUUUUUAUUUUUGAAUGAUUGCAAUCGAAUACUGGCUACCAUAUCUGUAUAUUUGAUGACAAAAAAAUUAGAAUGCUAAUAAAUGCAAAAAAAAAAUUGAUUUUAUUUAAACCUGAUUACAUAUUUCAUAAUCGAAAUUAUUUAUAUUGGAAUGUUAAACAUAUUAUAAUCUGCACAAAAUCAAUGAGUGAAAUGGCUAUGGCAUAGUUGUAUAGUCAUGCAAUAUCACAUCUUCAAUACAAUUAUCAAAACCUUUACUAAUAAUUUUAAAAAAAAAUAUUUUACACAAAUAUAAUUACAAAGAAAAACAUAAAUAUGAAAAUUAAAGUUCUAAAAAGAAAUGUAAAACAAAAAAUAUACUUAUUCUUGAUGGACGGAUCAAAAUCUAGUCUUAUACUAUUAAAAAAGAAGAUCUAUUUUUGAGGUGCCCUUCUGUUUCAACAAUAUUUACAGAUCUCUCCCACUGCUUUAAUUUAAACUAUGCUUUUAAAUUAUCUUUAUUAUUCACUAAAUCCUUUUAUUCCAACAAACAAUAUAUUUCCGUUUUUCUCUAUCCCUUUCAACUAAAUAAUUUUUAGCAUAAUUAAAAGAUUUUGUGAUCUGGAACAAGAGGUCAUCGCAAAUUGGGGAUUUCAAGUUACGUUGUACGAAGUGAUUACGAAGGCGAUUUGUCUUAGGGUUCGGAGAAGUGGACGAAGGUUUUGCGACUUGAUUUUCAUCUUGCUAGGAAACCCUUUAGUGGCUUCUCUAAUGGUGGUUCUGAAUUCAAGAUGGAGACGUUGAUCCCUGCUGUACUAACAAGUUCCAAGUUCGCAAGAAAAAAAAUCAAAAGAGAGGGAAGAUUGAGCACUCACUGAUUAACAUAAAUAUAUCUGUCUUUUUAUUUAUCCGAGAACUCCUUUGUGGUUUUGUUGACAUUUGGUCGGUGUCGGUGAUUUGUAGGGUCUGGGUUUGAAGAAUCUUGGGAAUACAUAUUUUUUGAAUUCUGUAUUGCAAUUUUUGACAUACACUGAGUUCUUAGAUGCUUACUUUCUAGAUGUUAGCAAUGUGAAACGAUGUAUGCAUUUAGAAGCUGGUUUGAUUAAUUGCUUGGCUUGGUGGAUCUUUUAUUCAGUGUCUAAUUGGAUGCUCUCAUGAAAACGUUUGUGUAGUCCAUGUGACUGGGUUUUGUGCUUUAUGUGCAAUGCAGAGGCAUGUUAGGACAACCCUUCAAGCUUCUGGCGGAAUAGCAGCACCAAGUCUCAAACUUAGGAGGUACGCUUUUGUAAAAUAAAUACGUAAGAAUCUAAUCAUAUCUUUCGGGAAAGAGAUGCUCUUCACCACGAUACUAUCAAUUGUACAUCUAUGUGUCAUGUACGUCAGUACGGUUCUCAUCCAGAGCUCAUAGAUUUCACCUUCUGCAAGAGAUCUCUGCCAUUGGAGGAUCUUCUUUGAGGAAUGAGAGGAGCCACAUCUCAUGUCAUUGCCAAAAAAAGCCAAAAUGAUGAAAGCGAUUGAAUCCUACUCUGAUAGAUAACAGAGCUACAGAUGUUACAAGUAUUUCCAACGAAUCUUUGCUUGAGACUUAAAGUUUUUGAAUUCCGAGAUGCGCUUAUAAGUUUAGGUGGAGAAGUAGUGGCUUUUGACCUUGUGCACAAAAAAAUAGCAGUGGCUUUUGACCAAAAUCCUUGGUCUAAUGGUUGCAGGAUUUUCACAAAAGUUCCAGUGGAUGUCGAUCCUAUGCUUUAAUUGGAGGAUAACAAUCAAUAAACACCUCAGCUUUUGUCUAACAUUUUCAUAAGAAUUUUUUUUUUUCACUCA
Long non-coding RNA from Brassica napus (rape), 1806 nucleotides. RefSeq lists it as uncharacterized. The transcript has 2 exons. Lineage: Eukaryota; Viridiplantae; Streptophyta; Magnoliopsida; Brassicales; Brassicaceae. The record is from RefSeq and is a predicted model, not a curated record.